RNAcentral lists this ribosomal RNA (497 nucleotides) under uncultured bacterium. Its description in RNAcentral is "partial 16S ribosomal RNA". It matches the Rfam family "Bacterial small subunit ribosomal RNA", at positions 28 to 507 of the family's 1533-position model. The record is from RNAcentral.
GAUGAACGCUGGCGGCGUGCCUAAUACAUGCAAGUCGAGCGAACGGACGAGAAGCUUGCUUCUCUGAUGUUAGCGGCGGACGGGUGAGUAACACGUGGAUAACCUACCUAUAAGACUGGGAUAGCUUCGGGAAACCGGAGCUAAUACCGGAUAAUAUUUUGAACCGCAUGGUUCAAAAGUGAAAGACGGUCUUGCUGUCACUUAUAGAUGGAUCCGCGCUGCAUUAGCUAGUUGGUAAGGUAACGGCUUACCAAGGCAACGAUGCAUAGCCGACCUGAGAGGGUGAUCGGCCACACUGGAACUGAGACACGGUCCAGACUCCUACGGGAGGCAGCAGUAGGGAAUCUUCCGCAAUGGGCGAAAGCCUGACGGAGCAACGCCGCGUGAGUGAUGAAGGUCUUCGGAUCGUAAAACUCUGUUAUUAGGGAAGAACAUAUGUGUAAGUAACUGUGCACAUCUUGACGGUACCUAAUCAGGAAGCCACGGCUAACUACGUG